Molecule: ribosomal RNA, 1008 nt
Filed under: Triticum aestivum (bread wheat)
Lineage: Eukaryota; Viridiplantae; Streptophyta; Magnoliopsida; Poales; Poaceae
Description: partial small subunit ribosomal RNA
Source: RNAcentral
AUGCUGGUGGGGACCAUGAUCUUCUACAAGGGGCCGAUCCGCGCCCUCCGACUCCUCACGGUCGACCCCCCGGUUGGCCUACUCGAUCAGUGGAUCGGCGUCGUCAUUGGCUCCGGCGUCGAGGAGGUGGACGUCGAGCUGCGCUGCCCGUACAUCUCCCGCCGCAGACUCUGCCCUUUCUGGUCCGACAAGUCCUCGGCAGACUUCGACGCGGUUUACGGGAGAAGCUACACCAAGACGCCACCGCUGCUCUUCCGGUGCCGCACGCUGCGCCGGCUGCGCCUCACAAGCUGGACGCUCGAGCUGCCCUCGGGAUUUGACGUCGGCGUCUUCGCAGCGUCCCUACAAACUCUCUGCCUCAAGCGGAUCAUGGCCGCUAACGAGGUGAUCCUGCAGCUGCUCUACGGAUGCCCUCUCCUCGCCGACCUGACACUGGAGGAGUGCCCGGGCGCCACAGAGAUCACCGUGCCCAGCGACCGCCUCCGGAGCUUCGCCAUGGUCUGCUGUCACAAAGCCCAGCGCGUCGUGCUGUACACACCAUGCCUGCGUUCGCUGAGGUACAAGGGCGGACUCCCUCCUCACACGUCGUUCCUCCUCGUUGCCGGCUACGAAAGCGUCGCGGCGGUGACCAUGGACAUCUGCGAGGACCUCAGCAGCAAAUCACCAACGGAAGUCGCUCCGCUCAUGGGUCUCGUCAGCUGGUGCAGGAACCUAACGUAUCUCCACCUCGCCCUGCGCCCAUCGAUGGCAUACUACUGCAGCGAGUUCAUGGCCGUCCCAGGCCGCCAGCUGGGACUCAGGCAGCUAGUCCUUAAGGGCCUCCUUGGCACCGAGCAUGCCGUCCGGUCCGUCCCGUCCUGCUCGUCAACGCCAGGAACCUGCAAGUGCUAUCGCUGUUUCCUGUCGUUCCUGAGCCCAGGAAGCCUUACUACUCUUACGACGAUUCGGACGAAGACGAGCCGGAGAACUGCGGUAUCGUCGAGGAGGCCGUCGACUAUGACCAAAUGA